GCUCAAUUGACAUUUAAGACCUUCUUUAAAGUGAUAGUUCAUUAGCAAUUGAAACCAAACAUGGAUCUUUUUCGAGUAGAAAGGACAUAUGUAGCAAUACAUGCCUGAGAAAUUAUUAAAAUUUCCAUCUAUAAUAAUUUCCAUCUAUAUUUUGUGAUUUUGUCAUAGAUGACAAUUAUGGACAUGAGAAAUUUGAGACCAAUUUUGGGUAAUGAAUGGUUGCAAGCCUAGGAAGUCCUCCAGCCUCAGUAAUCAUUACUAAACUAUUG
Molecule: unclassified non-coding RNA, 269 nt
Filed under: Hevea brasiliensis (rubber tree)
Lineage: Eukaryota; Viridiplantae; Streptophyta; Magnoliopsida; Malpighiales; Euphorbiaceae
Source: RNAcentral